UGCCUCAGUAACGGCGAGUGAAGCGGCAAAAGCUCAAAUUUGAAAUCUGGUACCUUCGGUGCCCGAGUUGUAAUUUGUAGAGGGCGACUUUGGGGCGGCUCCUUGUCUAUGUUCCUUGGAACAGGACGUCAUAGAGGGUGAGAAUCCCGUGUGGCGAGGAGUGCGGUUCCGUGUAAAGCGCUCUCGAAGAGUCGAGUUGUUUGGGAAUGCAGCUCUAAGUGGGUGGUAAAUUCCAUCUAAAGCUAAAUAUUGGCGAGAGACCGAUAGCGAACAAGUACAGUGAUGGAAAGAUGAAAAGAACUUUGAAAAGAGAGUGAAAAAGUACGUGAAAUUGUUGAAAGGGAAGGGCAUUUGAUCAGACAUGGUGUUUUGCGCCCCCCGCUCCUUGUGGGUGGGGGACUCUCGCAGCUCACUGGGCCAGCAUCAGUUU
RNAcentral lists this ribosomal RNA (430 nucleotides) under Maudiozyma humilis. RNAcentral describes it as "Kazachstania humilis partial large subunit ribosomal RNA". It matches the Rfam family "Eukaryotic large subunit ribosomal RNA", at positions 76 to 503 of the family's 3401-position model. The record is from RNAcentral. Lineage: Eukaryota; Fungi; Ascomycota; Saccharomycetes; Saccharomycetales; Saccharomycetaceae.